RNAcentral lists this ribosomal RNA (428 nucleotides) under uncultured cyanobacterium. RNAcentral's name for it is "bacterial SSU rRNA". It matches the Rfam family "Bacterial small subunit ribosomal RNA", at positions 356 to 795 of the family's 1533-position model. The record is from RNAcentral. Lineage: Bacteria; Bacillati; Cyanobacteriota.
GGGGAAUUUUCCGCAAUGGGCGAAAGCCUGACGGAGCAAUACCGCGUGAGGGAGGAAGGCUCUUGCGGUCGUAAACCUCUUUUCUCAGGGAAUAAGAAAGUGAAGGUACCUGUAGGAAUCAGCAUCGGCUAACUCCGUGCCAGCAGCCGCGGUAAUACGGAGGAUGCAAGCGUUAUCCGGAAUGAUUGGGCGUAAAGCGUCCGCAGGUGGCUGUGUAAGUCUGCUGUUAAAGAGUGAGGCUCAACCUCAUAAAAGCAGUGGAAACUACACGGCUAGAGUGCGUUCGAGGCAGAGGGAAUUCCUGGUGUAGCGGUGAAAUGCGUAGAUAUCAGGAAGAACACCGGUGGCGAAAGCGCUCUGCUAGGCCGCAACUGACACUGAGGGACGAAAGCUAGGGGAGCGAAUGGGAUUAGAUACCCCAGUUAGUC